CACUCCUGCGGGAGGCAGCAGUGGGGAAUAUUGCACAAUGGGCGCAAGCCUGAUGCAGCCAUGCCGCGUGUAUGAAGAAGGCCUUCGGGUUGUAAAGUACUUUCAGCGGGGAGGAAGGCGAUAAGGUUAAUAACCUUGUCGAUUGACGUUACCCGCAGAAGAAGCACCGGCUAACUCCGUGCCAGCAGCCGCGGUAAUACGGAGGGUGCAAGCGUUAAUCGGAAUUACUGGGCGUAAAGCGCACGCAGGCGGUCUGUCAAGUCGGAUGUGAAAUCCCCGGGCUCAACCUGGGAACUGCAUUCGAAACUGGCAGGCUAGAGUCGUGUAGAGGGGGGUAGAAUUCCAGGUGUAGCGGUGAAAUGCGGAGAGAUCUGGAGGAAUACCGGUGGCGAAGGCGGCCCCCUGGACAAAGACUGACGCUCAGGUGCGAAAGCGUGGGGAGCAAACAGGAUUAGAUACCCGGGUAGUCCCAU
RNAcentral lists this ribosomal RNA (473 nucleotides) under uncultured organism. RNAcentral describes it as "partial 16S ribosomal RNA". It matches the Rfam family "Bacterial small subunit ribosomal RNA", at positions 334 to 798 of the family's 1533-position model. The record is from RNAcentral.